Bufo gargarizans (Asiatic toad) is the source of this 355-nucleotide long non-coding RNA. RefSeq lists it as uncharacterized. The record is from RefSeq and is a predicted model, not a curated record. The transcript has 3 exons. NCBI's taxonomy places the organism in Eukaryota, Metazoa, Chordata, Amphibia, Anura, Bufonidae.
AGAUGAUUGAGCUGCUGACUAGAGAGGUUCCUAUAAGGUGUCAGGAUAUCACCGUCUAUUUCACCAUGGAGGAGUGGGAGUAUUUAGAAGGACACAAAGAUCUGUACAAGGACGUCAUGAUGGAGGAUCCCCAGCCCCUCAAACCACCAGUUAAGGAAGAGAGACAACCACAAGAGAUAUGUUCCAGUCCCCUUCUUCCACAGGAUAAUGAAGUAGAUGGAGAUAAGGGCCUCAAGAUGGAGGAUCACCGGCCCCUGACAUCACCAGUUAAGGAAGAGAGAAGAACACCAGAGAGAUGUCCCAGUCCUCUUCUUCUACAGGAUGGUUCAGAAGAACAUCACAAUGUCCCACAGGA